Molecule: long non-coding RNA, 2952 nt
Organism: Oncorhynchus keta (chum salmon)
Lineage: Eukaryota; Metazoa; Chordata; Actinopteri; Salmoniformes; Salmonidae
Exons: 8
Source: RefSeq, a predicted model, not a curated record
GAGAACACAAACACACAGAACAACAGUUCCCCUCCUGUAAGAGAGACACAGCAGAGGACAGAAACAAUCCUCCUCCUUUCUAACUCUUUCCUUCGCUCUCUCUUGUUGUACUGUGAAACCUUUGUUUCCAGAUUAGCUUUAGCUAGGUGUUGGCUUGUGUUUACUAAUGGAUUGGAGGUCUGUAGUAUUAAUCUGUUAGUUAUAGAACUGGAGGUCUGUAGUAUUACUAUGUUAGUUAUAGAACUGGAGGUCUGUAGUAUUACUAUGUUAGUUAUAGAACUGGAGGUCUGUAGUAUUACUAUGUUAGUUAUAGAACUGGAGGUCUGUAGUAUUACUAUGUUAGUUAUAGAACUGGAGGUCUGUAGUAUUACUAUGUUAGUUAUAGAACUGGAGGUCUGUAGUAUUACUAUGUUAGUUAUAGAACUGGAGGUCUGUAGUAUUACUAUGUUAUAGAACCGGAGGUCUGUAGUAUUACUCUGUUAUAGAACUGGAGGUCUGUAGUAUUACUAUGUUAUAGAACCGGAGAUCUGUAGUAUUACUCUGUUAUAGAACCGGAGGUCUGUAGUAUUACUAUGUUAUAGAACCGGAGGUCUGUAGUAUUACUCUGUUAUAGAACUGGAGGUCUGUAGCAUUACUCUGUUAGUUAUAGAACUGGAGGUCUGUAGUAUUACUAUGUUAGUUAUAGAACUGGAGGUCUGUAGUAUUACUAUGUUAGUUAUAGAACUGGAGGUCUGUAGUAUUACUAUGUUAGUUAUAGAACUGGAGGUCUGUAGUAUUACUAUGUUAGUUAUAGAACUGGAGGUCUGUAGUAUUACUAUGUUAGUUAUAGAACUGGAGGUCUGUAGUAUUACUAUGUUAGUUAUAGAACUGGAGGUCUGUAGUAUUACUAUGUUAGUUAUAGAACUGGAGGUCUGUAGUAUUACUCUGUUAUAGAACCGGAGAUCUGUAGUAUUACUCUGUUAUAGAACUGGAGGUAUGUAGUAUUACUAUGUUAUAGAACCGGAGGUCUGUAGUAUUACUCUGUUAUAGAACUGGAGGUCUGUAGUAUUACUAUGUUAUAGAACCGGAGAUCUGUAGUAUUACCCUGUUAUAGAACUGGAGGUCUGUAGUAUUACUAUGUUAUAGAACCGGAGGUCUGUAGUAUUACUCUGUUAUAGAACUGGAGGUCUGUAGUAUUACUAUGUUAGUUAUAGAACUGGAGGUAUGUAGCAUUACUCUGUUAGUUAUAGAACUGGAGGUCUGUAGUAUUACUAUGUUAGUUAUAGAACUGGAGGUCUGUAGUAUUACUAUGUUAGUUAUAGAACUUGGAGGUCUGUAGUAUUACUAUGUUAGUUAUAGAACUGGAGGUCUGUAGUAUUACUAUGUUAGUUAUAGAACUUGGAGGUCUGUAGUAUUACUAUGUUAGUUAUAGAACUGGAGGUCUGUAGUAUUACUAUGUUAGUUAUAGAACUUGGAGGUCUGUAGUAUUACUAUGUUAGUUAUAGAACUGGAGGUCUGUAGUAUUACUCUGUUAUAGAACUGGAGGUCUGUAGUAUUACUAUGUUAGUUAUAGAACUGGAGGUCUGUAGUAUUACUCUGUUAUAGAACUGGAGGUCUGUAGUAUUACUAUGUUAGUUAUAGAACUUGGAGGUCUGUAGUAUUACUAUGUUAGUUAUAGAACUGGAGGUCUGUAGUAUUACUAUGUUAGUUAUAGAACUGGAGGUCUGUAGUAUUACUAUGUUAGUUAUAGAACUGGAGGUCUGUAGUAUUACUAUGUUAGUUAUAGAACUGGAGGUCUGUAGUAUUACUAUGUUAGUUAUAGAACUGGAGGUCUGUAGUAUUACUCUGUUAUAGAACUGGAGGUCUGUAGUAUUACUAUGUUAGUUAUAGAACUGGAGGUCUGUAGUAUUACUAUGUUAGUUAUAGAACUGGAGGUCUGUAGUAUUACUAUGUUAGUUAUAGAACUGGAGGUCUGUAGUAUUACUAUGUUAGUUAUAGAACUGGAGGUCUGUAGUAUUACUCUGUUAUAGAACUGGAGGUCUGUAGCAUUACUCUGUUAUAGAACUGGAGGUCUGUAGCAUUACUCUGUUAUAGAACUGGAGGUCUGUAGUAUUACUCUGUUAUAGAACUGGAGGUCUGUAGUAUUACUCUGUUAUAGAACUGGAGGUCUGUAGCAUUACUCUGUUAUAGAACUGGAGGUCUGUAGCAUUACUCUGUUAUAGAACUGGAGGUCUGUAGCAUUACUCUGUUAUAGAACUGGAGGUCUGUAGUAUUACUCUGUUAUAGAACUGGAGGUCUGUAGUAUUACUCUGUUAUAGAACUGGAGGUCUGUAGCAUUACUCUGUUAUAGAACUGGAGGUCUGUAGCAUUACUCUGUUAUAGAACUGGAGGUCUGUAGUAUUACUAUGUUAGUUAUAGAACUAGAGGUAUGUAGUAUUACUCUGUUAUAGAACUGGAGGUCUGUAGCAUUACUCUGUUAUAGAACUGGAGGUCUGUAGCAUUACUCUGUUAUAGAACUGGAGGUCUGUAGUAUUACUAUGUUAGUUAUAGAACUGGAGGUCUGUAGUAUUACUAUGUUAGUUAUAGAACUGGAGGUCUGUAGUAUUACUAUGUUAGUUAUAGAACUGGAGGUCUGUAGUAUUACUAUGUUAGUUAUAGAACUGGAGGUCUGUAGUAUUACUCUGUUAUAGAACUGGAGGUCUGUAGUAUUACUAUGUUAGUUAUAGAACUGGAGGUCUGUAGUAUUACUAUGUUAGUUAUAGAACUGGAGGUCUGUAGUAUUACUAUGUUAGUUAUAGAACUGGAGGUCUGUAGUAUUACUAUGUUAGUUAUAGAACUGGAGGUCUGUAGUAUUACUCUGUUAUAGAACUGGAGGUCUGUAGUAUUACUCUGUUAUAGAACUGGAGGUCUGUAGUAUUACUAUGUUAGUUAUAGAACUGGAGGUCUGUAGUAUUACUCUGUUAGUUAUAGAAC